GACGAACGCUGGCGGCGUGCUUAACGCAUGCAAGUCGAACGGAAAGGCCCUGCUUUUGUGGGGUGCUCGAGUGGCGAACGGGUGAGUAACACGUGAGUAACCUGCCCUUGACUUUGUGAUAACUUCAGGAAACUGGGGCUAAUACCGGAUAGGAGCUCCUGCUGCAUGGUGGGGGUUGGAAAGUUUCGGCGGUUGGGGAUGGACUGGCGGCUUAUCAGCUUGUUGGUGGGGUAGUGGCUUACCAAGGGUUUGACGGGUAGCCGGCCUGAGAGGGUGACCGGGCACAUUGGGACUGAGAGACGGCCCAGAGUCCUACGGGAGGCAGCAGUGGGGAAUAUUGCACAAUGGGCGGAAGCCUGAUGCAGCAACGCCGCGUGCGGGAUGCCGGCCUUCGGGGUGUAAACCGCUUUAGCCUGUGACGAAGCGUGAGUGACGGUAAUGGGUAAAGAAGCACCGGCUAACUACGUG
Molecule: ribosomal RNA, 468 nt
Filed under: uncultured bacterium
Lineage: Bacteria
Description: partial 16S ribosomal RNA
Rfam family: Bacterial small subunit ribosomal RNA
Source: RNAcentral